This 324-nucleotide long non-coding RNA is filed under the name Androctonus crassicauda. Lineage: Eukaryota; Metazoa; Arthropoda; Arachnida; Scorpiones; Buthidae. The record is from RNAcentral.
GUCGAAGUGGGACGACCAUAUAUGAGGUGUUGCGGAUACGAAGGGCGAACUCAACAUUCGAACAAAAAAUUUUUUCCCCCAUUCUGCUCCCAUGACGCCACAGAAUACGCUGGUAAGUUUUUUAUUAAGUUUGGCCUUCCUAACCAUACAAAAGCACGGUUUAAAAAACAGCAACCAUUGACUAAGUGCAAUAGAGUUGCGGAUACAAAAGGCGAACUCAACAUUCCGCAGCACGUGAUCCACCAUUUUAUAGAUAUAUAAUUAUAUUGUUUCUAUAAUACUGUUAAAAAAGAGCAUCAGAAUUUAUUAAAUCUUUUACGCGAC